This 406-nucleotide ribosomal RNA is filed under the name uncultured bacterium. Its description in RNAcentral is "partial 16S ribosomal RNA". It matches the Rfam family "Bacterial small subunit ribosomal RNA", at positions 28 to 526 of the family's 1533-position model. The record is from RNAcentral.
GACGAACGCUGGCGGCAGGCCUAACACAUGCAAGUCGAACGAGCGGCGGACGGGUGAGUAAUGUAUGGGAAUCUGCCUGAUGGAGGGGGAUAACUACUGGAAACGGUAGCUAAUACCGCAUACCAUCAGAUGUGCCCAGAUGGGAUUAGCUUGUUGGUGGGGUAAAGGCUCACCAAGGCGACGAUCCCUAGCUGGUCUGAGAGGAUGACCAGCCACACUGGGACUGAGACACGGUCCAGACUCCUACGGGAGGCAGCAGUGGGGAAUAUUGCACAAUGGGCGCAAGCCUGAUGCAGCCAUGCCGCGUGUAUGAAGAAGGCCUUAGGGUUGUAAAGUACUUUCAGCGGGGAGGCGUUACCCGCAGAAGAAGCACCGGCUAACUCCGUGCCAGCAGCCGCGGUAAUAC